RNAcentral lists this ribosomal RNA (1588 nucleotides) under insect metagenome. RNAcentral describes it as "bacterial LSU rRNA". It matches the Rfam family "Bacterial large subunit ribosomal RNA", at positions 640 to 2101 of the family's 2925-position model. The record is from RNAcentral.
GCGAGGUUAACCCGUGGUGGGGGAGUCGUAGCGAAAGCGAGUCCGAUAAGGGCGUGAGUCGCGUGUUCUAGACCCGAAGCGGUGUGAUCUAUCCAUGGCCAGGAUGAAGCGUCGGUAAGACGUCGUGGAGGUCCGAACCCACUUCAGUUAAAAAUGGAGGGGAUGAGUUGUGGAUAGGGGUGAAAGGCCAAUCAAACACCGUGAUAGCUGGUUCUCCCCGAAAUGCAUUUAGGUGCAGCGUUGCGUGGUUCUUGUUGGAGGUAGAGCACUGGAUGGUCUAGGGGGCUUAUCGGCUUACCGAAAUCAGCCAAACUCCGAAUGCUGGCAAGUGUAGCGUGGCAGUGAGACGGCGGGGGAUAAGCUUCGUCGUCGAGAGGGAAACAGCCCAGAUCAUCAGCUAAGGCCCCUAAGUGGUGACUCAGUGGGAAAGGAUGUGGAGUUGCGUAGACAACCAGGAGGUUGGCUUGGAAGCAGCCAUCCUUGAAAGAGUGCGUAAUAGCUCACUGGUCAAGUGAUUCCGCGCCGAUAAUGUAGCGGGGCUUAAGUUAUCCGCCGAAGCUGUGGCAACCUGUGUGGUUGGGUAGGGGAGCGUCGUGUCAGUGGUGAAGCUGCCGGGUACUGUGGAGGUCGCUAGAUGGUCAUGCGAGUGAGAAUGCAGGCAUGAGUAGCGUGUGACGGGUGGGAAUCCCGNCCNCCANNUUAUCCAAGGGUUCCAGGGUCAAGUUUGUCUGCCCUGGGUGAGUCGGGUCCUAAGGCGAGGCCGACAGGCGUAGUCGAUGGGUAACCAGUUGAUAUUCUGGUACCGGCUUGUCACCGUCCGUGUCGAGGUGUGUGAUGCUAAGCAUGUGAGCUUGUCUUGGGAGUGUUUUUGAUGCUUCUGGGGUGGGUGAGUGUGUGAACCGAUCAUGUAGUAGGCAAGCUGCGGAGGGACGCAGUGAGGUAGCUCAUCCCCGGUGAUGGUUGUCCGGGGCUAAGUGUGUGGACNGUCUGGUAGGUAAAUCCGCUGGGCGUGAAGGUUGAGGCAUGAUGGGGAGCCCACGGUUGUGGGUGAGUGAGUGAUCCUGUACUGUCGAGAAAAGCUUCGUGAGCGAGGUGGCGGGUCCGCCCGUACCCUAAACCGACACUGGUGGAUAGGUAGAGUAUACCGAGGCGAUCGAGUGAAUCGUGGUGAAGGAACUCGGCAAAAUGCCCCCGUAACUUUGGGAUAAGGGGGACCUGAGCUGUCGUGCACCCGUGCGGUGUGGUGGCGGUGGAGGUNGCNCAGAGUCCAGGGGGAAACGACUGUUUACCAAAAACACAGGUCCGUGCGAAGUCGUAAGACNAUNUAGCNACCUNNACUGACUCCUGCCCGGUGCUGGAAGGUUAAGGGGAACUGUNAGCUNUGAUGCGNNGCGGUGAACUUAAGCCCCAGUAAACGGCGGUGGUAACUAUAACCAUCCUAAGGUAGCGAAAUUCCUUGUCGGGUAAGUUCCGACCUGCACGAAUGGAGUAACGANUUCCCNNCUGUCUCNACCAUGAACUCGGNGAAAUUGCANUACGAGUAAAGAUGCUCGUUACGCGCNGCAGGACGNAAAGACCCCGGGACCUU